RNAcentral lists this ribosomal RNA (753 nucleotides) under uncultured Achromobacter sp. RNAcentral's name for it is "bacterial SSU rRNA". It matches the Rfam family "Bacterial small subunit ribosomal RNA", at positions 28 to 776 of the family's 1533-position model. Lineage: Bacteria; Pseudomonadati; Pseudomonadota; Betaproteobacteria; Burkholderiales; Alcaligenaceae. The record is from RNAcentral.
AUUGAACGCUAGCGGGAUGCCUUACACAUGCAAGUCGAACGGCAGCACGGACUUCGGUCUGGUGGCGAGUGGCGAACGGGUGAGUAAUGUAUCGGAACGCGCCUAGUAGCGGGGGAUAACUACGCGAAAGCGUAGCUAAUACCGCAUACGCCCUACGGGGGAAAGCAGGGGAUCGCAAGACCUUGCACUAUUAGAGCGGCCGAUAUCGGAUUAGCUAGUUGGUGGGGUAACGGCUCACCAAGGCGACGAUCCGUAGCUGGUUUGAGAGGACGACCAGCCACACUGGGACUGAGACACGGCCCAGACUCCUACGGGAGGCAGCAGUGGGGAAUUUUGGACAAUGGGGGAAACCCUGAUCCAGCCAUCCCGCGUGUGCGAUGAAGGCCUUCGGGUUGUAAAGCACUUUUGGCAGGAAAGAAACGUCAUGGGUUAAUACCCCGUGAAACUGACGGUACCUGCAGAAUAAGCACCGGCUAACUACGUGCCAGCAGCCGCGGUAAUACGUAGGGUGCAAGCGUUAAUCGGAAUUACUGGGCGUAAAGCGUGCGCAGGCGGUUCGGAAAGAAAGAUGUGAAAUCCCAGAGCUUAACUUUGGAACUGCAUUUUUAACUACCGAGCUAGAGUGUGUCAGAGGGAGGUGGAAUUCCGCGUGUAGCAGUGAAAUGCGUAGAUAUGCGGAGGAACACCGAUGGCGAAGGCAGCCUCCUGGGAUAACACUGACGCUCAUGCACGAAAGCGUGGGGAGCAAACAGG